This 558-nucleotide long non-coding RNA is filed under the name Phasianus colchicus (ring-necked pheasant). RNAcentral describes it as "lncRNA (ENSPCLG00000015878.1)". Lineage: Eukaryota; Metazoa; Chordata; Aves; Galliformes; Phasianidae. The record is from RNAcentral.
GCCCUCUGCUCUAUGGGGCACACAGGGAUGCCCUAUGCUGCCCUAUGGGGCACACAGGGAUGUCCUCUGCUGCCCUAUAGGGCACAAGGGCUGCACUCUGCUCUAUGGGGCACACAGAGAUGCCCUAUGCUGCACUAUAGGGCACACAGGGAUGCACUCUGCUCUAUGGGGCACGCAGGGAUGCCCUAUGCUGCCCUAUAGGGCACGCAGGGAUGCCCUCUGCUCUAUGGGGCACGCAGGGAUGCCCUCUGCUCCCUAUAGGGCACACAGGGCUGCCCUAUUCUCCCCCAUGGGGCACACAGGGCUGCCCUCUGUUGUCCUCUGCUGCCCCAUGGGGCACACAGGGCUGCCCUCUGCUUCCCUAUGGGGCACACAGGGCUGUCCUCCCCUCAUGGCCCUAUGGGGCACACAGGGAUGCCCUCUGCUCCCUAUAGGGCACACAAGGAUGCCCUAUUCUCCCCUAUAGGGCACACAAGGAUGCCCCAUUCUCCCCUAUAGGGCACACAGGGCUGCCCUAUUCUCCCCUAUAGGGCACACAAGGAUUCCCCAUUCUCCCCU